AUUGAACGCUGGCGGCAGGCCUAACACAUGCAAGUCGAGCGGUAGAGAGAAGCUUGCUUCUCUUGAGAGCGGCGGACGGGUGAGUAAUGCCUAGGAAUCUGCCUGGUAGUGGGGGAUAACGUUCGGAAACGGACGCUAAUACCGCAUACGGCCUACGGGAGAAAGCAGGGGACCUUCGGCCCUUGCGCUAUCAGAUGAGCCUAGGUCGGAUUAGCUAGUUGGUGAGGUAAUGGCUCACCAAGGCGACGAUCCGGAACUGGUCUGAGAGGAUGAUCAGUCACACUGGAACUGAGACACGGUCCAGACUCCUACGGGAGGCAGCAGUGGGGAAUAUUGGACAAUGGGCGAAAGCCUGAUCCAGCCAUGCCGCGUGUGUGAAGAAGGUCUUCGGAUUGUAAAGCACUUUAAGUUGGGAGGAAGGGUUGUAGAUUAAUACUCUGCAAUUUUGACGUUACCGACAGAAUAAGCACCGGCUAACUCUGUGCCAGCCGCCGCAGUAA
RNAcentral lists this ribosomal RNA (500 nucleotides) under uncultured bacterium. Its description in RNAcentral is "partial 16S ribosomal RNA". It matches the Rfam family "Bacterial small subunit ribosomal RNA", at positions 30 to 523 of the family's 1533-position model. The record is from RNAcentral.